Molecule: long non-coding RNA, 547 nt
Organism: Selaginella moellendorffii
Lineage: Eukaryota; Viridiplantae; Streptophyta; Lycopodiopsida; Selaginellales; Selaginellaceae
Exons: 4
Source: RefSeq, a predicted model, not a curated record
UGGGGCAGCUGGAAGGAAUGAGAUUGCGUGAGAUCUGCGCUCUUCUCGGAUUUCUCAUCGAGAAUAUCGGCCGCGAUCGGCAGGAUUACGGCAUGGCAGGCAAGAGCGUGUCCCGAUUGCGGUGGAAAUCACGGCCAAUCUUCUCAGCAUUCACCUAAGAGAUCCUUCGAUGAGGGACAACAUUCCAGAGAAUUUAGUUCUCUCCGAACAGCUGCUGCGAUUGAUGUACGCAAUGUCGAUAAUGAGGCUGAUCAAUGGCGUAGUAGACGAUAAGAAGACUUCCCGCAGCUCCGUAGCCAUAGACGAAAGCGUCGCUGGAGUAAGCCAUGAGACUGCCGUCGUCCUGACGAACCUAGUAACAAAAGAAGCUGCCUGAAUACAAGCUUUCAAGAACAAGGCAUGAAACAAACCUGAGAACAGGUGGCCGCAACACCAACGGAAGGCUCAAGACGAAGGAGAAACACUCGAGCAUGGCAAGAACCUGCAUGGUGCACUUCAGUCAGCACUAGAAUAGCAUACCAUACGGUAACGCGAACCUGUGUAAAGA